RNAcentral lists this ribosomal RNA (253 nucleotides) under uncultured bacterium. RNAcentral's name for it is "partial 16S ribosomal RNA". It matches the Rfam family "Bacterial small subunit ribosomal RNA", at positions 524 to 776 of the family's 1533-position model. The record is from RNAcentral.
UACGUAGGGGGCAAGCGUUGUCCGGAUUUAUUGGGCGUAAAGCGUCCGUAGGCGGUUUACCAGGUGGAGUGUGAAAUCCCACGGCUUAACUGUGGACCUGCACUCCAAACCGAUAGACUUGAGUCCAGCAGGGGGAGAUGGAAUUCCUAGUGUAGCGGUGAAAUGCGUAGAUAUUAGGAAGAACACCGGUAGCGAAGGCGGUCUCCUGGGCUGGUACUGACGCUGAGGGACGAAAGCUAGGGGAGCGAACAGG